Molecule: long non-coding RNA, 227 nt
Filed under: Lathyrus oleraceus (garden pea)
Lineage: Eukaryota; Viridiplantae; Streptophyta; Magnoliopsida; Fabales; Fabaceae
Description: Pisum sativum (pea) long non-coding RNA (PSAT_LNC015207)
Source: RNAcentral
GAUACUGGAGGAAAAUUUUCCGUCGGGCAGAGAUAGGAAUGAAAAUCAGAGAACGUCACGCGAUCAACGCGAAAGUCGGGGUUCAAAUGUGGUGAUCCGAGAUCAUCCGCGUGGAAGAAACAUAUUUGUUGUGAGGUUAAAAAAAAAUAAAAAAAAAAUCAGAAAGUUUUGGGGUUCAAGAAAAGAAAAAAGUAAAAUAAUAAUCCCCAGCGGAGCGCAAAUUGUUC